AUUGAACGCUGGCGGCAUGCUUUACACAUGCAAGUCGAACGGCAGCACGGGUGCUUGCACCUGGUGGCGAGUGGCGGACGGGUGAGUAAUACAUCGGAACGUAUCCAGAAGAGGGGGAUAACGCAUCGAAAGAUGUGCUAAUACCGCAUAUUCUCUGAGGAGGAAAGCAGGGGAUCGAAAGACCUUGCGCUUUGGGAGCGGCCGAUGUCUGAUUAGCUAGUUGGUGGGGUAAAGGCCUACCAAGGCGACGAUCAGUAGUUGGUCUGAGAGGACGACCAGCCACACUGGGACUGAGACACGGCCCAGACUCCUACGGGAGGCAGCAGUGGGGAAUUUUGGACAAUGGGCGCAAGCCUGAUCCAGCAAUGCCGCGUGAGUGAAGAAGGCCUCGGGUUGUAAGACUCGUUUCUAGUCGAGAGAAAAGACUAGCAGUGAAUAACUAGUAGUUC
Molecule: ribosomal RNA, 449 nt
Filed under: uncultured bacterium
Lineage: Bacteria
Description: bacterial SSU rRNA
Rfam family: Bacterial small subunit ribosomal RNA
Source: RNAcentral